CCUACGGGAGGCAGCAGUGGGGAAUAUUGGGCAAUGGAGGCAACUCUGACCCAGCAACGCCGCGUGAAUGAUGAAGGUCUUCGGAUUGUAAAGUUCUGUGAUGGGGGAUGAACACAAUGACGGUACCCCAAUUGCAAGCCACCGCUAACUACGUGCCAGCAGCCGCGGUAAUACGUAGGUGGCAAGCGUUAUCCGGAAUGACUGGGCGUAAAGGGUGCGUAGGUGGUUUAGUAAGUUGGCGGUGUAAUUCCGGGGCUCAACCUCGGCGCUACCGCCAAUACUAGUAGACUAGAGUGCGGGAGGGGUAAGUGGAAUUCCUAGUGUAGCGGUGGAAUGCGUAGAUAUUAGGAAGAACAUCAGGGGCGAAGGCGACUUACUGGACUGUAACUGACACUGAGGCACGAAAGCGUGGGGAGCAAACAGGAUUAGAUACCCCUGUAGUC
RNAcentral lists this ribosomal RNA (443 nucleotides) under uncultured bacterium. Its description in RNAcentral is "partial 16S ribosomal RNA". It matches the Rfam family "Bacterial small subunit ribosomal RNA", at positions 338 to 795 of the family's 1533-position model. The record is from RNAcentral.